UUCUUCCUCCUCUUCUUCUUCUGUGACUCAACAAGUUCAGCUCACAAACCCCAUGAGCAUACUAAAACUUCCUCUCUUGUACCCACAACAACAGCAGCAGCAUCAGCAGCCAGAAUUUGUGAAAGAAACCAUCCAAUGCUUACCUCUUCUAAGCAGACUCACAGAGAAUAAAGCAUUGAAAGAAGAGAAUAUGGGGGUGCAAGAAACUAGUUUUGGACUUAAAGAAGAGAAAAUUGACAAGGUUACAGUGGCUUUGCACAUUGGACUGCCUAAUAGUAGUGGAGAUUCUCAAGUUGAAACCAAAGUUUUUGAUCUUAAAGAACAACAACAACAACAACAGCCACCACCCAUCAAGAAAAGCUUCCAAGGACACUGCUCUUUCAACACAGAAAGUAGGUUUUGGAUCCCAACUCCUGCUCAGAUCCUUGUAGGGCCUAUGCAGUUUGAGUGCUCCAUAUGCAGCAAAACCUUCAAUAGGU
Molecule: unclassified non-coding RNA, 479 nt
Filed under: Hevea brasiliensis (rubber tree)
Lineage: Eukaryota; Viridiplantae; Streptophyta; Magnoliopsida; Malpighiales; Euphorbiaceae
Source: RNAcentral